UGGGGAAUAUUGCACAAUGGGCGCAAGCCUGAUGCAGCCAUGCCGCGUGUAUGAAGAAGGCCUUCGGGUUGUAAAGUACUUUCAGCGGGGAGGAAGGGAGUAAAGUUAAUACCUUUGCUCAUUGACGUUACCCGCAGAAGAAGCACCGGCUAACUCCGUGCCAGCAGCCGCGGUAAUACGGAGGGUGCAAGCGUUAAUCGGAAUUACUGGGCGUAAAGCGCACGCAGGCGGUUUGUUAAGUCAGAUGUGAAAUCCCCGGGCUCAACCUGGGAACUGCAUCUGAUACUGGCAAGCUUGAGUCUCGUAGAGGGGGGUAGAAUUCCAUGUGUAGCGGUGAAAUGCGUAGAAAUGUGGAGGAAUACCGGUGGCGAAGGCGGCCCCCUGGACAAAGACUGACGCUCAGGUGCGAAAGCGUGGGGAGCAAACAGG
This 429-nucleotide ribosomal RNA is filed under the name Chloroflexota bacterium. RNAcentral describes it as "Chloroflexi bacterium partial 16S ribosomal RNA". It matches the Rfam family "Bacterial small subunit ribosomal RNA", at positions 355 to 776 of the family's 1533-position model. The record is from RNAcentral. Lineage: Bacteria; Bacillati; Chloroflexota.